AGUGCCUCAGACGGUUUUUAAGGUUAUUUGAUUCAAAUUUACCUGAUCUAUUCGUUUUAUUACGUUAGUAAAGCUUACAACAUUUUAGUUGACAUACCUAAUUGGAUAUUAGCAUUUAUAGCUCUACGCCCUGGCCAGGACUCGUCCCAAAUUUUAGUGGUUGGCCACUUUUAAAUGAUUUUAUUCAGUGAGUGGCCAAGGGCUGCGCUUGUCAUCCCUUUAUAGGUUGCGACGACCCAGAUCCAACGGAGCCCACUAGUCCACGAUGCAGUUCGACCUCUUCGCCGUUCGGCGGCGUUAGACCAUUGUCUACAUAGUGGCACCACUGCAUAUAUACACUUAUAAUCCAUAUUGCCCCGAAAUUAAAACGGAGGGUAAAUUAACGCAGCCGAAAGCUGAGCGGCAAUACAUUAAAGCUCCUGUCCCACUUGAAAAAUAGGUAUAAGUAUACAUAGUCUUGAAGUAAAAGUUCAAAAUUUAUAAAAAUCUAACCGUUUAAAAUAUGUUGAUUACCUGAACUGGU
Drosophila teissieri is the source of this 523-nucleotide long non-coding RNA. RefSeq lists it as uncharacterized. NCBI's taxonomy places the organism in Eukaryota, Metazoa, Arthropoda, Insecta, Diptera, Drosophilidae. The transcript is spliced from 3 exons. The record is from RefSeq and is a predicted model, not a curated record.